GACGAACGCUGGCGGCGUGCUUAACACAUGCAAGUCGAACGGGCUAUAGCAAUAUAGUUAGUGGCGAACGGGUGAGUAACGCGUGACCAAUCUGCCCCGGACUGCGGAAUAACGGUGGGAAACUACCGCUAAUACCGCAUGUUGAAAUUGAGUCGCAUGGCUUGAUUUUGAAAGCUUCGGCGGUCCGGGAUGAGGUCGCGACCUAUUAGCUUGUUGGUGAGGUAACGGCUCACCAAGGCAGCGAUGGGUAGCUGGUCUGAGAGGAUGAUCAGCCACACUGGGACUGAGAUACGGCCCAGACUCCUACGGGAGGCAG
Molecule: ribosomal RNA, 316 nt
Filed under: uncultured bacterium
Lineage: Bacteria
Description: bacterial SSU rRNA
Rfam family: Bacterial small subunit ribosomal RNA
Source: RNAcentral